CGUAGGGUGCGAGCGUUGUCCGGAAUUACUGGGCGUAAAGAGCUCGUAGGCGGUUUGUCACGUCGUCUGUGAAAUCCCUCGGCUUAACCGGGGCGUGCAGGCGAUACGGGCAGACUUGAGUACUACAGGGGAGACUGGAAUUCCUGGUGUAGCGGUGAAAUGCGCAGAUAUCAGGAGGAACACCGGUGGCGAAGGCGGGUCUCUGGGUAGUAACUGACGCUGAGGAGCGAAAGCAUGGGUAGCGAACAGGAUU
RNAcentral lists this ribosomal RNA (253 nucleotides) under uncultured bacterium. RNAcentral describes it as "partial 16S ribosomal RNA". It matches the Rfam family "Bacterial small subunit ribosomal RNA", at positions 526 to 779 of the family's 1533-position model. The record is from RNAcentral.